GUAGGUGGCAAGCGUUGUCCGGAAUUAUUGGGCGUAAAGCGCGCGCAGGCGGUUCUUUAAGUCUGAUGUGAAAGCCCACGGCUCAACCGUGGAGGGUCAUUGGAAACUGGAGAACUUAAGUACAGAAGAGGAAAGCGGAAUUCCACGUGUAGCGGUGAAAUGCGUAGAGAUGUGGAGGAACACCAGUGGCGAAGGCGGCUUUCUGGUCUGUAACUGACGCUGAGGCGCGAAAGCGUGGGGAGCAAACAGGGAUUAGAUACCCUGGUAGUCCACGCCGUAAACGAUGAGUGCUAAGUGUUAGGGGGUUUCCCGCCCCUUAGUGCUGCAGCUAACGCAUUAAGCACUCCGCCUGGGGAGUACGGCCGCAAGGCUG
This 373-nucleotide ribosomal RNA is filed under the name uncultured organism. Its description in RNAcentral is "partial 16S ribosomal RNA". It matches the Rfam family "Bacterial small subunit ribosomal RNA", at positions 527 to 896 of the family's 1533-position model. The record is from RNAcentral.